Molecule: ribosomal RNA, 197 nt
Filed under: uncultured bacterium
Lineage: Bacteria
Description: partial 16S ribosomal RNA
Rfam family: Bacterial small subunit ribosomal RNA
Source: RNAcentral
ACUCCUACGGGAGGCAGCAGUGGGGAAUUUUGGACAAUGGGCGCAAGCCUGAUCCAGCAAUGCCGCGUGCAGGAUGAAGGCCUUCGGGUUGUAAACUGCUUUUGUACGGAACGAAACGGUCCGCUCUAAUACAGUGGGCUAAUGACGGUACCGUAAGAAUAAGCACCGGCUAACUACGUGCCAGCAGCCGCGGUAAU